UUCUUGUUAAUGAAGAUGGCUGAGCUUCC
Molecule: non-coding RNA, 29 nt
Filed under: Rattus norvegicus (Norway rat)
Lineage: Eukaryota; Metazoa; Chordata; Mammalia; Rodentia; Muridae
Source: RNAcentral